UUGCGUUCUUUGAGAGAAAGAGGAUUCAGACGGAGUGGCUGCAGUGUCAGAGGAAGAUAAAAAGUUUAAAGACAAAAUAUAAAGAGAUCAAGGAUGGCAUCAACAAAAGUGGGGCAGGGCGAAACAAUUGCCCCUUUUAUGAUUUAUUAGACAGCAUCCUUGGGGACAAGCCUAGUGUUCAUCCACUGAUGUCGCUGGACAGCUCUGCUCCCGACGAAGAAGGCGAGGAGGAUGAUUUGGAUAGCGUUAGGAGCAGCAAUGCAGAUGAGCCCACACAUCCUGAGUCUGCUGAUACAUCACUGUCAAGCAUCAUAAGUUCAAGUCCAGCCUCUUCCGGGAGUGGAACUGCUUCUGGACAUUCCUCAACCUCCUCUGGAACUCCCUCCGUCACCUCUGGCAGUGGAAAAUCCUCUGGAACUACUUCAGAAUAGACCACAACAAGCCGGAGGCGAAAAAACAAGAUGGAGGCAGCUUUGGAUGUUUUCACAAAAAAAAUGGGUGAGGUGCUGGAAAAGGACAAUCAUGUGUUACUCCAGAUGCAGACCGCACAGCACCAACAUGAAAUGGCAAUGAUGACCUUUCUCGGCCAGCUUAUCAAGGGUGGACAAUCUCAGCAUGGUCCCCCAGUUCUUCCCAGCCAGCACUCUUCCUUAUCCCCAGGAGCAUCACACCAACCACCAGUCUUCCAGCCAGUAUUGCCACCUUAUCAACAGGGGUCUCACACCAAGCAGCACACACAUCUGCCUAGGAUGCCUCAGCCUCUACAUACCCUAGCAGCCCCUGCAAGUGUGAGUGUGAAUGCCCAAACAUCUUAUUUGGGAGACCUCCUAGACGACCAACCUAUUUUUCCUCAUGAUAGCCAAAUAUAGGUCAGCCAAACAACGGGGCAGUUUCUGAUUUUUCAGUUGAAGUUUUAAAGUGAAGCAAACAGUUUUAAGUUUGUUUGGAAUGCAAACAAUGUUCAAGAAUACUAAAACAUUUAUUCAGGUAUUUUAUUAGAUUUUAUGUGAUUUUACACAUCAAAUGUUCAAGAAUACAAAAAAAAUAUUCAAGUAUUUUAUUACAUUUUGUGAUUUUACAAAUAUCACAUUUUGUUGACAGAAAAAAAGGUUUACACUGCCACUGAACAGUAGGGAAACCUAACUUUGAAUGCAC
Molecule: long non-coding RNA, 1155 nt
Organism: Epinephelus moara (kelp grouper)
Lineage: Eukaryota; Metazoa; Chordata; Actinopteri; Perciformes; Serranidae
Exons: 3
Source: RefSeq, a predicted model, not a curated record